GAUGAAGAACGUAGCGAAAUGCGAUAAGUAAUGUGAAUUGCAGAAUUCAGUGAAUCAUCGAAUCUUUGAACGCACAUUGCGCCCCUUGGUAUUCCGAGGGGCAUGCCUGUUCGAGCGUCAUUACACCACUCAAGCACUGCUUGGUAUUGGGCACUCGUCCGUCGAAAGACGGGCGUGCCUCGAAGACCUCGGCGGGGUUUCUCCAACUUCGGGCGUAGUAGAGUUAAAUCAAAACGUCUUAUAAGCUUGGUGAGAUAUCAUUGCCGUUAAACCUUUUUUUUUCAGGUUGACCUCGGAUCAGGUAGGGAUACCCGCUGAACUUAAGCAUAUCAAUAAGCGGAGGA
This 344-nucleotide unclassified non-coding RNA is filed under the name soil metagenome. RNAcentral's name for it is "partial contains 5.8S ribosomal RNA, internal transcribed spacer 2, and large subunit ribosomal RNA". The stretch from base 1 to 120 matches the Rfam family "5.8S ribosomal RNA", at positions 35 to 154 of the family's 154-position model. The record is from RNAcentral.